CAGCAGCCGCGGUAAUACGAAGGGAGCUAGCGUUGCUCGGAAUUACUGGGCGUAAAGGGAGCGUAGGCGGAUCGUUAAGUUGGGGGUGAAAGCCCGGGGCUCAACCUCGGAACUGCCUUCAAUACUGGCGAUCUUGAGUAUGAGAGAGGUGUGUGGAACUCCGAGUGUAGAGGUGAAAUUCGUAGAUAUUCGGAAGAACACCAGUGGCGAAGGCGACACACUGGCUCAUUACUGACGCUGAGGCUCGAAAGCGUGGGGAGCAAACAGGAUUAGAUACCCCUGUAGUCCCUGUCUCUUAUAC
This 301-nucleotide ribosomal RNA is filed under the name uncultured bacterium. Its description in RNAcentral is "partial 16S ribosomal RNA". It matches the Rfam family "Bacterial small subunit ribosomal RNA", at positions 509 to 807 of the family's 1533-position model. The record is from RNAcentral.